Molecule: non-coding RNA, 74 nt
Organism: Podarcis lilfordi (Lilford's wall lizard)
Lineage: Eukaryota; Metazoa; Chordata; Lepidosauria; Squamata; Lacertidae
Source: the annotation of a GenBank genome assembly
ACCUGGGAUAGCUCAGGCAGUAAGAGCAUGAGAUGCUUAAUCUCAGGUCAUGGGUUCGAGCCCCAUGCUGGGUA